GAUGAACGCUGGCGGCGUGCCUAAUACAUGCCAGUCGAGCGAACGGACGAGUAGCUUGCUUUUCUGAUGUUAGCGGCGGACGGGUGAGUAACACGUGGAUAACCUACCUAUAAGACUGGGAUAACUUCGGGAAACCGGAGCUAAUACCGGAUAAUAUUUUGAACCGCAUGGUUCAAAAGUGAAAGACGGUCUUGCUGUCACUUAUAGAUGGAUCCGCGCUGCAUUAGCUAGUUGGUAAGGUAACGGCUUACCAAGGCAACGAUGCAUAGCCGACCUGAGAGGGUGAUCGGCCACACUGGAACUGAGACACGGUCCAGACUCCUACGGGAGGCAGCAGUAGGGAAUCUUCCGCAAUGGGCGAAAGCCUGACGGAGCAACGCCGCGUGAGUGAUGAAGGUCUUCGGAUCGUAAAACUCUGUUAUUAGGGAAGAACAUAUGUGUAAGUAACUGUGCACAUCUUGACGGUACCUAAUCAGAAAGCCACGGCUAACUACGUG
Molecule: ribosomal RNA, 497 nt
Filed under: uncultured bacterium
Lineage: Bacteria
Description: partial 16S ribosomal RNA
Rfam family: Bacterial small subunit ribosomal RNA
Source: RNAcentral